Gadus chalcogrammus (walleye pollock) is the source of this 2179-nucleotide long non-coding RNA. RefSeq lists it as uncharacterized. The transcript has 3 exons. Lineage: Eukaryota; Metazoa; Chordata; Actinopteri; Gadiformes; Gadidae. The record is from RefSeq and is a predicted model, not a curated record.
AUGGAGAAGUGCAUCGGCUUGCCUUGUGCAAAUGUUUUUUUAUUGAUAACAACAUUGGCAUAUACUGAUCAAAACAGGAAGAUACAAAAAAAAGCCUAUAGUGCAAUUAAACGAUGAACAUACAAACAUACUGCCUUGAACGUAGCAGUCAGGCUACUGCUUCUUUGUUUUGAGCCAAAGAAAAAAACAUGAAUUUCCGUUAAUCGUGCGAUAAAAAAAUUAACACCAUUAAAAUUGUUUUGCGUUAACGCCGGUAAUUACGCGUUUAACUGACAGCCCUAGUUAUUAUUAAUGUAUAAUAACAUUCAUAAUAUUCCGGAGGCGCACAGAGCUUUUGGCCGUGAUAUUAUAUAUUAUAUUGUAAUGUUCGGCAGUGUAUAGGCCAUGGUUUAUUCAACCAUCAAACUAUAUUCAAUUCCGAACGGUAGGAAUUAGGGGUGCAACGGAUCACAAAACUCACGGUUCGGAUCGUGUCACGGUUUUUGAGUCACGGGUCGGAUCAUUUUCGGAUCAACAACAACAAUAAACAAGACAAAUGUGACUUUAAAUAAAAUCUUCAAAUGUGUAAAAACAAAAUAAAGUGAAACAUUUGGUAAUAAUCCUGCUUCCUUUAAAGAUCCCAUGCCACACCCAUUUCAUUCCUUUUUUUAUAAUCGUUGAUGUCCUUUGAUCGAGUUUGUAACCUUGUUUGUGUUGGAAAUGCCUAGGAUAGCUUAUUUCAAGCUAUUCUAGAAUGACCGAAAAGCCUGGUAGAGAAGACGACUGGUUUUCUCAUGAAUAUCUAUGUAUUAAUGAGCUUUGCUCUGAUUGGACGUCUGUUUUCAUGGAUAUUCAAUAUUUAAAUUUCGCUUUGCUCUGAUCGGACGACAAAGCAGCUGUCCAUCUGCUUACCGAGGCACAGCAAGCCUAAAACGAUGUCAGGAAUUUUGCCCUACGUGUUUGAUCCAGAGUCGGAAGAUGAGACUGAAGGAGAAGACCAAGAACAACCACAAACACGUACAAUGACGGACGUUUCAGAAUGGUGUACCUGUGGGAAUUGCUCUACAAUGCAGAAAGAGGAGGAGAAUGUAUGCUGCAGGGAGACAACAUCGGUAAGACGGUGCACCGUGCAACGAUGGGUGAUAUGGAUUUCAUUUUGGUUAUACACUGUCAGUAAAAUCAGAUUAUAUUAAUCAAACAUAUCUGAUUGCACAGGUUGUAAGAAUAAUGGAAGACGAGGAUCCACCAUUAUUAUGCAUGACCCUCCACCCAGGACUAGAUCCAGUUUGUCUCAAUAGAUAUUCCCAGCAAAAUGCCCUGAACAUUUAUCAACGUGAUUAUGGGAACUUGCAAGUUAGAGGCAAUGACCGUUGCAGGUACUUGGCCGACAGGUCGUUUGUCAGCUGGUGCUGGGGAUAUCUUGGCAGGAAGAUACGUGUUGUCAUCCCCUCUUGUUUGGUCCAACACGUACGCGGGGAGUUCCCUGAUGCGGAAGGCCAAUAUGUUGGAUUUAAACCUCCUCCACUCUAAAGCGAGAUACAUGGGCCGCAAUAGCGUCUUUUAAGGGUGGACGUUCGUGUUGGGACGAUAGGGAACUGGGCACAGGAAUCUGCUGACUUUCCUCCAAGUAGGGCAGGGGGUUAGGGACUACCUCUUCAAAGGGGAGAUGCAUCAGGCUGAGGGUAUAGCCUAAAAGAAAUACAAUGUAGGUAAACUCUACAUGUAACAAUGUACAAAGUGUUUUAUACAUCAAUAAAUAUUUUCUUACAACUUACAGUAUGUUGGUUGUGUUUUUACUGCUUUCACCGUAGCCGCUCCUUUUUUUGCUUUUGGGAAACUGAGUUUGUACCUCAGUCUUCCUGAGUUUGUCUUCGCUUGGCAACGGCCAGCAUUCUCAUUAAAAGGCAUGGCUGCCAGGUACAGUCUGAAGGAGAAAAUAGGGUGUGGUAAUAAAACUGUCAUAGGAGAACACUGGUUGCAUUAUCAAACAACAACUACAUAGUCACCACAGCAAAGAUAUCUACACAUAUCUUUAGGUUUGUAUUGUUCUAGUGUAAGAAAAAUAUAUUUUUUGGUGUAAAACGCAAAAUAACACUGUGGAAGGCUUCCAGUGUUGAGGUCUGGUACUUUGAGCUCAGCUUUUCCACGUCAGUCAGGACCCUCUUGCUGGUAAGGAUUUUUUCCACUUUAUAGAGGGCUU